AUAAACCUGGCCAUACUUCAAUAUACCUGUUUCAUCUAGGCAUCCUACUAGAAUUCGACCUUUUGGAAUGAAUAUACGACACCUACUUCUUAGGUCUGAAAUUUGAUUCUCAAAAUGUGAUUGAAGCAUCAUCGAGAGAUAAGGCUCCUGAUUGGGUGCGUAUCCUUGGAGCAACAUCCUCAUUAAGAUUUUUUUUACUUCACCACCACCCAUGCUCUCCAAAACAUCUAAAGCUGCCUCAUUAGUGGUCAACAUCUUGCCCAGAAGACAAAGAUGAUUAUCUAGCAGGUCUUCAAAAGCUUUAUCUUCAACUCCCAAAGUAGAUAAAAGGAUAACAAUCUCCCGAUUCAGAUAGCAAGGCAUGGCAUCACUCCACUUGGUAAUAUUAAGCAUCCUGUUCUUUGAUUCAAAUUUGAGCAUACUGCCACGAAGAGAUAGCUUUCGAAAGGAAUUGCGGUCAACAGCUAUCACACCUUUAUAACCACCAUAUCUUAUUUGAAAUGCUGAUGGGGUAUGAUUCAAUCCACAUUUCUGAGCAACUUGUCGGGCAAAAGCUUGGGAAAUCUUUCCAAUACCAUCUGAGAAGCAAUAACUAACACCAUCAGAGGUUACUUCAAUAUCUGGAAGAAUCUCAACAUGCUGCAAUUUAACCUCCAUUGUUUGAACAGAGGUGCUAAACAGUUGACCCAUCCUUGCAGCACAUUUUGAGAUACUACGGAU
RNAcentral lists this unclassified non-coding RNA (720 nucleotides) under Hevea brasiliensis (rubber tree). Lineage: Eukaryota; Viridiplantae; Streptophyta; Magnoliopsida; Malpighiales; Euphorbiaceae. The record is from RNAcentral.